UACGUAGGGGGCGAGCGUUGUCCGGAAUUAUUGGGCGUAAAGAGCUCGUAGGCGGUCUGUCGCGUCUGCUGUGAAAUCCCGAGGCUCAACCUCGGGCUUGCAGUGGGUACGGGCAGGCUAGAGUGCGGUAGGGGAGAAUGGAACUCCUGGUGUAGCGGUGGAAUGCGCAGAUAUCAGGAAGAACACCGAUGGCGAAGGCAGUUCUCUGGGCCGUAACUGACGCUGAGGAGCGAAAGCGUGGGGAGCGAACAGG
This 253-nucleotide ribosomal RNA is filed under the name uncultured bacterium. RNAcentral's name for it is "partial 16S ribosomal RNA". It matches the Rfam family "Bacterial small subunit ribosomal RNA", at positions 524 to 776 of the family's 1533-position model. The record is from RNAcentral.